This 297-nucleotide unclassified non-coding RNA is filed under the name Hevea brasiliensis (rubber tree). Lineage: Eukaryota; Viridiplantae; Streptophyta; Magnoliopsida; Malpighiales; Euphorbiaceae. The record is from RNAcentral.
CAAAAAGAUGCAUUGCGAGCAAUGGCGACAUCCAAAUAUUGGACAUUAUCAGCAUAUGCCAAGGAAAGCAAAAUGAGAAGAUUUGUUGAGGAUGUGUUGGAUUCAUCAUUUUGGAAAGAAUGUGCAUUAAGUAUGCAGAUCACUAAACCUUUAGUCCGUGUUUUGAGAAUGGUUGACAGUGAUGAUAGAACUUCAAUGGGAUAUUUAUAUGAGGCUAUUCAUAAAACUAGAGAAGAAAUAGUAUGGAGAUGCACUUUCAUUAUUUGAUAUUUGAUUUUUUAUGUAGAUGAAUGGUGG